RNAcentral lists this ribosomal RNA (477 nucleotides) under uncultured bacterium. RNAcentral's name for it is "bacterial SSU rRNA". It matches the Rfam family "Bacterial small subunit ribosomal RNA", at positions 365 to 832 of the family's 1533-position model. The record is from RNAcentral.
UUCGCAAUGCCCGAAAGGGUGACGAAGCGACGCCGCGUGUGGGAAGAAGGCCUUCGGGUUGUAAACCACUGUCAGGAGUUAAGAAAUGCAAGGAUAUGAAUAGUGUCUUUGCUUGACUAAGGCUCCGGAGGAAGCCACGGCUAACUCUGUGCCAACAGCCGCGGUAAUACAGAGGCGGCAAGCGUUGUUCGGAAUUAUUGGGCGUAAAGAGCACGUAGGCGGCUAUGUAAGUCGGUUGUGAAAGCCUUCCGCUCAACGGGAGAACAGCAUCCGAUACUACAUGGCUUGAGUGCGGGAGGGGAGAGUGGAACUUCUGGUGGAGCGGUGAAAUGCGUAGAUAUCAGAAGGAACGCCGGCGGCGAAAGCGGCUCUCUGGCCCAUAACUGACGCUGAGUGUGCGAAAGCUAGGGGAGCAAACGGGAUUAGAUACCCCGGUAGUCCUAGCCGUAAACGAUGGGCACUAAGUAGAGGGGUUUU